UACGUAGGGUGCGAGCGUUAAUCGGAAUUACUGGGCGUAAAGCGUGCGCAGGCGGUUCGUCAUGUCUGAUGUGAAAGCCCCGGGCUCAACCUGGGAAUGGCAUUGGAAACUAGCGGGCUGGAGUGUGGCAGAGGGGGGUGGAAUUCCACGUGUAGCAGUGAAGUGCGUAGAGAUGUGGAGGAAUACCGAUGGCGAAGGCAGCCCCCUGGGCCAAUACUGACGCUCAUGCACGAAAGCGUGGGGAGCAAACGGG
This 253-nucleotide ribosomal RNA is filed under the name uncultured bacterium. Its description in RNAcentral is "partial 16S ribosomal RNA". It matches the Rfam family "Bacterial small subunit ribosomal RNA", at positions 524 to 776 of the family's 1533-position model. The record is from RNAcentral.